AAAGCUUGGAUUUAGAAACAAGAACUAGGUGAUUUGGUUGGAUUUUGAGAGAGUUGUGGGAAUUUUGGUGAGGAGGAGUUUGAGAGAGUAUGAGUGAAAAAUGAGAGGAGGGGAGAGAUGAGGGAGAUGAAUUCGUGGGUUGUGGGUAGGUUUAGGGUCGUCAGGUUCGGUCUAGGGUGGUUAGGAUCGGUUCACUUGAAUUAAACCGGGGUUUAGAGUUAGAAAACUUACCUGGAUCGGCUCGGGAGCGACCUCGGAUAGUCGCUGUGGGACGUCGCUCCGACUAAUUUUUGUGUGUUCCAAAACGUCACAAAUGCGAGCGACUUCGAGGUGUCGCUGUGGUGACGUCGCUUUGGGCUGGAGCGACUUCGUGUUGUCGCUUUUGGAGGUCGCUCUGAGAGCGUUUUCGAGCACCAAACGUUAAAAACGCGAGCGACUUCGGGGUGUCGCUCUCGGGACCUCGCUAUGGAGCUAGAGCGACUUCAUGUGCUCGCUCUGUGAGGUCACUCCGAGAGUGAUUUUCUUGAUCCGAUGCCAAAAACGCGAGCGACCGUGCGUUGUCGCUCCCGUUACGUCGCUCCCAGCUGGAGCGAUCCUUCACACUCGCUGCUGAUCCUCGCUCCCACGAUCGAUUUUCUGCUCAAACCGGAUCGACCAGGCACCUGCACACAACUUCAAAUCUCCAAUUCUUUUUUUUUUUUUUAGAAAUAUGAUGAAAAUGAAAAUACUAAUGCAAUAUGUACAAGGAUACGCAUGGGACUUCCUCCCAAGUGAAUAAAUACAUACAAUAAUAGUUAAAUACUUUAUAUUCGUUAUAUAUGGCAAUUGUAUCGAAUAUAGCCCAUUAAUUUACAACUCUCUUAUGCCAAUUAAAGGAGGUGUCUUGUCGAAUACCUCUUCCAUGCAUGCAUUGAUAAGUCUACCAAACGUAACAGUUUUAUGAGGAUAGCUAAUGCUAUGAUUUACACCAAUUAGCAAGUUGAUUUGACAAGAAGUAGAAGUAAAAAAUGUAUUUAAUAAAGUUUAAAAAUUAG
Molecule: long non-coding RNA, 1034 nt
Filed under: Brassica rapa (field mustard)
Lineage: Eukaryota; Viridiplantae; Streptophyta; Magnoliopsida; Brassicales; Brassicaceae
Description: long non-coding RNA (BRAP_LNC001302)
Source: RNAcentral